Molecule: ribosomal RNA, 2908 nt
Filed under: Salmonella enterica subsp. enterica
Lineage: Bacteria; Pseudomonadati; Pseudomonadota; Gammaproteobacteria; Enterobacterales; Enterobacteriaceae
Description: 23S ribosomal RNA
Rfam family: Bacterial large subunit ribosomal RNA
Source: RNAcentral
GGUUAAGCGACUAAGCGUACACGGUGGAUGCCCUGGCAGUCAGAGGCGAUGAAGGGCGUGCUAAUCUGCGAUAAGCGCCGGUAAGGUGAUAUGAACCGUUAUAACCGGCGAUACCCGAAUGGGGAAACCCAGUGUGAUUCGUCACACUAUCAUUAACUGAAUCCAUAGGUUAAUGAGGCGAACCGGGGGAACUGAAACAUCUAAGUACCCCGAGGAAAAGAAAUCAACCGAGAUUCCCCCAGUAGCGGCGAGCGAACGGGGAGGAGCCCAGAGCCUGAAUCAGCAUGUGUGUUAGUGGAAGCGUCUGGAAAGGCGCGCGAUACAGGGUGACAGCCCCGUACACAAAAGCGCAUGUGCUGUGAGCUCGAUGAGUAGGGCGGGACACGUGGUAUCCUGUCUGAAUAUGGGGGGACCAUCCUCCAAGGCUAAAUACUCCUGACUGACCGAUAGUGAACCAGUACCGUGAGGGAAAGGCGAAAAGAACCCCGGCGAGGGGAGUGAAAAAGAACCUGAAACCGUGUACGUACAAGCAGUGGGAGCACAGGUUUACCUGUGUGACUGCGUACCUUUUGUAUAAUGGGUCAGCGACUUAUAUUCUGUAGCAAGGUUAACCGUAUAGGGGAGCCGUAGGGAAACCGAGUCUUAACCGGGCGUUAAGUUGCAGGGUAUAGACCCGAAACCCGGUGAUCUAGCCAUGGGCAGGUUGAAGGUUGGGUAACACUAACUGGAGGACCGAACCGACUAAUGUUGAAAAAUUAGCGGAUGACCUGUGGCUGGGGGUGAAAGGCCAAUCAAACCGGGAGAUAGCUGGUUCUCCCCGAAAGCUAUUUAGGUAGCGCCUCGUGAAUUCAUCUCCGGGGGUAGAGCACUGUUUCGGCUAGGGGGCCAUCCCGGCUUACCAACCCGAUGCAAACUGCGAAUACCGGAGAAUGUUAUCACGGGAGACACACGGCGGGUGCUAACGUCCGUCGUGAAGAGGGAAACAACCCAGACCGCCAGCUAAGGUCCCAAAGUCAUGGUUAAGUGGGAAACGAUGUGGGAAGGCCCAGACAGCCAGGAUGUUGGCUUAGAAGCAGCCAUCAUUUAAAGAAAGCGUAAUAGCUCACUGGUCGAGUCGGCCUGCGCGGAAGAUGUAACGGGGCUAAACCAUGCACCGAAGCUGCGGCAGCGACGCUGAUGCGUUGUUGGGUAGGGGAGCGUUCUGUAAGCCUGCGAAGGUGACCUGUGAGGGUUGCUGGAGGUAUCAGAAGUGCGAAUGCUGACAUAAGUAACGAUAAAGCGGGUGAAAAGCCCGCUCGCCGGAAGACCAAGGGUUCCUGUCCAACGUUAAUCGGGGCAGGGUGAGUCGACCCCUAAGGCGAGGCCGAAAGGCGUAGUCGAUGGGAAACGGGUUAAUAUUCCCGUACUUGGUGUUACUGCGAAGGGGGGACGGAGAAGGCUAUGUUGGCCGGGCGACGGUUGUCCCGGUUUAAGCGUGUAGGUGUGUGUUCCAGGUAAAUCCGGUUCACUUUAACACUGAGGCGUGACGACGAGGCACUACGGUGCUGAAGCAACAAAUGCCCUGCUUCCAGGAAAAGCCUCUAAGCAUCAGGUAACACGAAAUCGUACCCCAAACCGACACAGGUGGUCAGGUAGAGAAUACCAAGGCGCUUGAGAGAACUCGGGUGAAGGAACUAGGCAAAAUGGUGCCGUAACUUCGGGAGAAGGCACGCUGACACGUAGGUGAAGUGAUUUACUCAUGGAGCUGAAGUCAGUCGAAGAUACCAGCUGGCUGCAACUGUUUAUUAAAAACACAGCACUGUGCAAACACGAAAGUGGACGUAUACGGUGUGACGCCUGCCCGGUGCCGGAAGGUUAAUUGAUGGGGUCAGCGCAAGCGAAGCUCCUGAUCGAAGCCCCGGUAAACGGCGGCCGUAACUAUAACGGUCCUAAGGUAGCGAAAUUCCUUGUCGGGUAAGUUCCGACCUGCACGAAUGGCGUAAUGAUGGCCAGGCUGUCUCCACCCGAGACUCAGUGAAAUUGAACUCGCUGUGAAGAUGCAGUGUACCCGCGGCAAGACGGAAAGACCCCGUGAACCUUUACUAUAGCUUGACACUGAACAUUGAGCCUUGAUGUGUAGGAUAGGUGGGAGGCUUUGAAGCGUGGACGCCAGUCUGCGUGGAGCCGACCUUGAAAUACCACCCUUUAAUGUUUGAUGUUCUAACGUGGACCCGUGAUCCGGGUUGCGGACAGUGUCUGGUGGGUAGUUUGACUGGGGCGGUCUCCUCCUAAAGAGUAACGGAGGAGCACGAAGGUUGGCUAAUCCUGGUCGGACAUCAGGAGGUUAGUGCAAUGGCAUAAGCCAGCUUGACUGCGAGCGUGACGGCGCGAGCAGGUGCGAAAGCAGGUCAUAGUGAUCCGGUGGUUCUGAAUGGAAGGGCCAUCGCUCAACGGAUAAAAGGUACUCCGGGGAUAACAGGCUGAUACCGCCCAAGAGUUCAUAUCGACGGCGGUGUUUGGCACCUCGAUGUCGGCUCAUCACAUCCUGGGGCUGAAGUAGGUCCCAAGGGUAUGGCUGUUCGCCAUUUAAAGUGGUACGCGAGCUGGGUUUAGAACGUCGUGAGACAGUUCGGUCCCUAUCUGCCGUGGGCGCUGGAGAACUGAGGGGGGCUGCUCCUAGUACGAGAGGACCGGAGUGGACGCAUCACUGGUGUUCGGGUUGUCAUGCCAAUGGCACUGCCCGGUAGCUAAAUGCGGAAGAGAUAAGUGCUGAAAGCAUCUAAGCACGAAACUUGCCCCGAGAUGAGUUCUCCCUGAGACUUAGAGUCUCCUGAAGGAACGUUGAAGACGACGACGUUGAUAGGCCGGGUGUGUAAGCGCAGCGAUGCGUUGAGCUAACCGGUACUAAUGAACCGUGAGGCUUAACCUU